GAGUUUGAUCCUGGCUCAGGAUGAACGCUGGCGGCGUGCCUAACACAUGCAAGUCGAGCGAUUUACUUCGGUAAAGAGCGGCGGACGGGUGAGUAACACGUAGGUAACCUGCCCCGGAGCGGGGGAUAACAUUUGGAAACAGAUGCUAAUACCGCAUAACAACAAAAGCCACAUGGCUUUUGUUUGAAAGAUGGCUUUGGCCAUCACUCUGGGAUGGACCUGCGGUGCAUUAGCUAGUUGGUAAGGUAACGGCUUAACAAGGCGAUGAUGCAUAGCCGAGUUGAGAGACUGAUCGGCCACAAUGGAACUGAGACACGGUCCAUACUCCUACGGGAGGCAGCAGUAGGGAAUCUUCCACAAUGGGCCAAGCCUGAUGGAGCAACACCGCGUGAGUGAAG
This 398-nucleotide ribosomal RNA is filed under the name uncultured bacterium. RNAcentral's name for it is "bacterial SSU rRNA". It matches the Rfam family "Bacterial small subunit ribosomal RNA", at positions 9 to 410 of the family's 1533-position model. The record is from RNAcentral.